This 446-nucleotide ribosomal RNA is filed under the name uncultured bacterium. RNAcentral's name for it is "partial 16S ribosomal RNA". It matches the Rfam family "Bacterial small subunit ribosomal RNA", at positions 338 to 795 of the family's 1533-position model. The record is from RNAcentral.
CCUACGGGCGGCAGCAGUCGAGAAUCAUUCACAAUGGGGGAAACCCUGAUGGUGCGACGCCGCGUGGGGGAAUGAAGGUCUUCGGAUUGUAAACCCCUGUCAUGUGGGAGCAAAUUAAAAAGAUAGUACCACAAGAGGAAGAGACGGCUAACUCUGUGCCAGCAGCCGCGGUAAUACAGAGGUCUCAAGCGUUGUUCGGAAUCACUGGGCGUAAAGCGUGCGUAGGCUGUUUCGUAAGUCGUGUGUGAAAGGCGCGGACUCAACCCGCGGACGGCACAUGAUACUGCGAGACUAGAGUAAUGGAGGGGGAACCGGAAUUCGCGGUGUAGCAGUGAAAUGCGUAGAUAUCGAGAGGAACACUCGUGGCGAAGGCGGGUUCCUGGACAUUAACUGACGCUGAGGCACGAAGGCCAGGGGAGCGAAAGGGAUUAGAUACCCGGGUAGUC